Molecule: long non-coding RNA, 291 nt
Filed under: Phoenix dactylifera (date palm)
Lineage: Eukaryota; Viridiplantae; Streptophyta; Magnoliopsida; Arecales; Arecaceae
Description: long non-coding RNA (PDAC_LNC019960)
Source: RNAcentral
UGAGCCGACAUGGUAUAUAAUGAUAGUUGGGCAAUGGCCGGUGAUGCUGCCGCAGCGUGAGGGUCAGUCCGCGUGGGCGGCUUGCGAUGCAGGCCUGGCGCGGGGCAUGGUGCUGCCAUGAUUGUGGGCUGGCAGGACUGUCGGUUGUUAAAGCUGUUAGCCUUUAUUGACGCACGCUGAAUGUUCUCCUCGGUUAAGACCGAAGUCGUUCACCUCGAUUUACAUCUAAGAUUAAGGAAGUCGGUCUGGUCCGCGAUUGAGGUGCAAUAUUUCCUCCAUCAUAACCAUUUC